Molecule: non-coding RNA, 23 nt
Filed under: Cricetulus griseus (Chinese hamster)
Lineage: Eukaryota; Metazoa; Chordata; Mammalia; Rodentia; Cricetidae
Source: RNAcentral
AAGAAAGGGCUGUAACCACUAAA